Molecule: long non-coding RNA, 1357 nt
Filed under: Marmota monax (woodchuck)
Lineage: Eukaryota; Metazoa; Chordata; Mammalia; Rodentia; Sciuridae
Source: RNAcentral
UGCAGAUCCAGAGUUAUUUCCUAUUGUUGAACUGAUUAGAGCCCGUAGAGAUUUUGAAAUUACGGCAGCCAUAGUGACAGCUGUGGCGGUAUCUGCUGCUGCAGCAGUUAUAGCUGGAGUAGCCAUAGCCAGCCAAAUUCAAACUGCUGCCACUAUUAAUCAGGUUAUUCAACAAACAUCCACCAUACUUGAGUCUCAAAGUAAAAUUAAUCAACACACUUUAUCUGGGAUUCUAGCUGCUAAUCAAAGGAUAGAUCUGCUUCAAGCUCAAGUUGAGGAAUUGUNGGGUUGUGUUGAUCAACGUGCACAUUUAUGUAUAACCUCUGUCAGAUUUUAUGAUUCCAGAAAUGCCUCCCACAUCAUCGGGGAGUAUCCAUCCGGAACCUGGUCCAUGGAAGCAGAAAACAUGAUCCAGUCUCAACUAACCCAGAUAGCUGUCUUGAACAGUACCCGUGUCGAUCCCGUGACUUUGGGUCAAUUCACCGAUUGGAUAUCUUCUGCUUUUUCCUUCUUCAAAGAGUGGGUGGGAGUAGGCAUUUUUGGUGCAAUGUGUUGCUUCAGUGUUGUACUCUGUUUGUGGCUUCUCUGUCGCCUUAAAACUCGCCAUGCACAAGAAAAGGCUAUGAUCAUACAAGCUCUUNAUUGUCUGACCUAGUACAUUUGGGUUGUGUUGAUCAACGUGCACAUUUAUGUAUAACCUCUGUCAGAUUUAAUGAUUCCAAAAAUGCCUCCCGCAUCAUUGGCAAAUAUUUGGCCGAAAAUUGGUCCAUGGCAGCAGAAAACUUGAUCCAGUCUCAACUAACUCAGAUUGCUGUUUUAAACAAUACCCGUGUUGAACCAGUGACUUUGGGUCAAUUCACCGAUUGGAUAUCUUCUGCUUUUUCCUUCUUCAAAGAGUGGGUGGGAGUAGACAUUUUUGGUACAAUGUGUUGCUUCAGUGUUGUACUCUGUUUGUGGCUUCUCUGUCGCCUUAAGGCCCACAGUGCUCACGAUAAGGCUAUGAUCAUACAAGCUCUUGCAGCUUUAAAAAAUGGCAACUCACCUCAAGUCUGGCUUGCACAUCUUAAGCAGUAAACCUUUGUCAUGGUCGUUACACCCCAAGUUAUUAUAACAUUGCACUGGGAUCGACAUGACUUUCCUUGUUAUUCUCUUAGUGUUGGAAAGCCCUUACACUCUGCCGGUCUUACUGCCAUUGCACGCAGAUGGGUUUCCACACUAGUGCUUUUCUAUCGCCUUGAAGUUCGUGCCUUUCUUUCAGGGUGCUGUCAACUUGUUUGUCCUUAUAAACAGUCACAGUUCAGCCUCAGCUAUCCCCCUUCGUCCACCAUCGUCACGAUACAGGAUGCGAGACAAGGCA